UGGAUAGAAUAUGGAAGAGGGAAAA
This 25-nucleotide non-coding RNA is filed under the name Cricetulus griseus (Chinese hamster). The record is from RNAcentral. Lineage: Eukaryota; Metazoa; Chordata; Mammalia; Rodentia; Cricetidae.